This 2176-nucleotide unclassified non-coding RNA is filed under the name Leishmania donovani. RNAcentral's name for it is "gene:unknown". Lineage: Eukaryota; Euglenozoa; Kinetoplastea; Trypanosomatida; Trypanosomatidae. The record is from RNAcentral.
GUGCCAUUGGCGACACCUCUGUGCUGUAUGCGCCUGUAUACCCAUCGGCCACUAGCGGUAUGUGCUGACUUCUACACUGCCUCGUUUUCUUUUUUCACCUCAACGAUCGCAGUUAUGUUACAAGCACCGCGAUAAUGAGGCCACCGGACGACGGGAGACCAUGCUCGCCCAGUUCCGCACCGGCACCUGUCGGUGCCGUGCAUUACUGCAACGGCGGGCGGCUGGCAGUGGCGGCAUGGGGUGCCGAUGGUGUGCUGCCUACUGCUGCGCCGGUACUGUGGUGCCCCCAUCCCCCGUCUGUGUUUGCUAUGAGGGCGUCCGACCCGGUGCUGUGCCCGAUAUGCUACGCUUGAUUCGCGGAUCACUCGAGGAGGGUGGGCGAAGCACACGCUGUUUCACGCUAUGGCCUUGCACGCAGUAAUGUGGUUGCGCAUGCCUCGCUCGCGCCGCGUGGGCUCCUCACCUGUCUGCUGUCUAUGGCUGCCUCGUAUGCCCUCUCAGGAGGACAGGCCGUGCGCUCUUUCUCUCUCUGCGCUGGCGCGUGCCUAUCCACGGGUCCCUCCCGCUCAACCCGCCCGCGCCUACGAGAGGCGUGCGGCCCUGCGGAAAGGGUGGAAGACCCCCGCUGCCACGAACUCACAGCAGCGUCCCGCCUGCCGCGGUGCAUGCGUGCAGGCCACCCAGUCACGCCCCCUCCCCCUCCAGACACCGAGGUUGUCGUGCGGCAGGCCUCGGCGUGCAAGGAUGCGAGCUCGGAGCACAGGCGCUGUCAUGGAGAGCCGGCAUGGCGUAUCACGCCCACGCAAGGCAUCGAGAGGUCAGCCGCGCACGCGUGAUGGACGAGAAAGGCGCGAGGAGCUCCACACCAAUGAGCGCCACAGCGCAUACGCGCGCAACAUGCGGCGUCUCGGCCGUCCAACGGGGCGGGCUGAUGGGGCGCAGGUGCUGGAAGCGCGGCGAGAGCACCCCCGAACGGCACGAUCGAGCCCCUCCGACUGCCAUGCGGAGAGUCACCGCACCAUAUUAUGGGAUGCCGCUGCUGCAAGCGACUGGAGGGGGGAGGCAUGACGUGCAGGUGGCAGGGUGCAGGGUCUCGGAGGGCGCUGACCUGAGGCCGGCCGCCUUCCUCCUCGAGCUCCUGCGGCGCACACCUCGACCACCCCUUAUCGCCCGCACGACGGACGCCACCGCCUCCGCCCUCGAGCAGGACGCUGGGCGCGGCCCGCCUGGAUCAGGGCGUGCCGUCCAGCCGAGUCUCCGUGUGGGCCGAUUGGACGGCGGGCCGGCUUGUCCUAGUCGACAAGGAUUCCGCCGCACCCCUGCGAGGGUAGGUGAGCUGUGGUUGUGUGCGUCGAUCGGCUGCCUGUGUCUGGACGAAUGAGCAGGCUGCGCAGGCGAAGAGAGUGCAGUGGGCGUUGCGGUGUGCGUGGGAGAGCGCUCUCGACUCCUCUCACUCGUUGUCUUGUGCUAUCGUGCGGCCCUCUCUUGCACACGCGCGUCGGUGUCUCUGCAACGCAGCGUCUCUGUGGGCUCUUUUGUUGUGUGUUUGCCGCUGCUAGACCUCGUUGUAGGUUGCAGCAUAGCUGACCUGCAGCUGCGUGUGUGUGUGUGUGUGUGGUUCGGGCGGACGUACCAGUGGUGCACCGGAAACAGCAGUAAGCACAUGCGCACAUCGGCUUCUUCCCCCCUUGUCACCGUCGCUUCCCUUCGCAGACGCCCAGCUGUUUAGAGUCUGUCAUUAUUCGGCCUUCGUGUCGGCGUGCCCGCACUGAUGGGCACAUACAUAGAAGUUUCCCGGCAAGCCUGACCCGGUGUCGCUGUGUGCUCUGCGUCCAUUACCUGAACGUAUGUGCUUUCUCCUGUAUCUGUGUGCGUGGGCGACAAGACUGUGACCGGCAGAGCGGCUGUUGACAAGGACAGUAGCUUCCGUGCUCUUCCGUACCUCCGGGACUUUGUGCUCCUCGUGUCCUUUUUUCCCAGAGUGCGAGGUAAGGGAGAUACCUCACUCUGUGUAUAUGUCCAUAUAGGCGUACACGCAAACAUGAGCCAGAUCAGCGCUUACACACCUUCGAUACGUCCCUCUCCCUCUAAGGGGCACGCAUAUAAAAGCAGAAGAUUAUAAAUUCAAAUCCUCUAUUGAGGCUGUUUUCGGCCGUGCACGCGUGCCUCUUAAAAC